Molecule: ribosomal RNA, 860 nt
Filed under: Cladosporium pini-ponderosae
Lineage: Eukaryota; Fungi; Ascomycota; Dothideomycetes; Cladosporiales; Cladosporiaceae
Description: LSU rRNA
Rfam family: Eukaryotic large subunit ribosomal RNA
Source: RNAcentral
AUUGCUCUAGUAACGGCGAGUGAAGCAGCAAUAGCUCAAAUUUGAAAUCUGGCGUCUUCGACGUCCGAGUUGUAAUUUGUAGAGGAUGCUUCUGAGUGGCCACCGACCUAAGUUCCUUGGAACAGGACGUCAUAGAGGGUGAGAAUCCCGUAUGCGGUCGGAAAGGCGCUCUAUACGUAGCUCCUUCGACGAGUCGAGUUGUUUGGGAAUGCAGCUCUAAAUGGGAGGUAAAUUUCUUCUAAAGCUAAAUAUUGGCCAGAGACCGAUAGCGCACAAGUAGAGUGAUCGAAAGAUGAAAAGCACUUUGGAAAGAGAGUUAAAAAGCACGUGAAAUUGUUAAAAGGGAAGGGAUUGCAACCAGACUUGCUCGCGGUGUUCCGCCGGUCUUCUGACCGGUCUACUCGCCGCGUUGCAGGCCAGCAUCGUCUGGUGCCGCUGGAUAAGACUUGAGGAAUGUAGCUCCCUCGGGAGUGUUAUAGCCUCUUGUGAUGCAGCGAGCGCCGGGCGAGGUCCGCGCUUCGGCUAGGAUGCUGGCGUAAUGGUCGUAAUCCGCCCGUCUUGAAACACGGACCAAGGAGUCUAACAUCUAUGCGAGUGUUCGGGUGUCAAACCCCUACGCGUAAUGAAAGUGAACGGAGGUGAGAACCGCAAGGUGCAUCAUCGACCGAUCCUGAUGUCUUCGGAUGGAUUUGAGUAAGAGCAUAGCUGUUGGGACCCGAAAGAUGGUGAACUAUGCCUGAAUAGGGUGAAGCCAGAGGAAACUCUGGUGGAGGCUCGCAGCGGUUCUGACGUGCAAAUCGAUCGUCAAAUUUGGGUAUAGGGGCGAAAGACUAAUCGAACCAUCUAGUAGCUGGGUUCUG